CGGAUCGUAAAGCUCUGUUGUUAGGAAAAGAACAAGUACCGUUCGAAUAGGGCGGUACCUUGACGGUACCUAACCAGAAAGCCACGGCUAACUACGUGCCAGCAGCCGCGGUAAUACGUAGGUGGCAAGCGUUGUCCGGAAUUAUUGGGCGUAAAGGGCUCGCAGGCGGUUUCUUAAGUCUGAUGUGAAAGCCCCCGGCUCAACCGGGGAGGGUCAUUGGAAACUGGGGAACUUGAGUGCAGAAGAGGAGAGUGGAAUUCCACGUGUAGCGGUGAAAUGCGUAGAGAUGUGGAGGAACACCAGUGGCGAAGGCGACUCUCUGGUCUGUAACUGACGCUGAGGAGCGAAAGCGUGGGGAGCGAACAGGAUUAAAUACCCUGGUAGUCCACGCCGUAAACGAUGAGUGCUAAGUGUUAGGGGGUUUCCGCCCCUUAGUGCUGCAGCUAACGCAUUAAGCACUCCGCCUGGGGAGUACGGUCGCAAGACUGAAACUCAAAGGAAUUGACGGGGGCCCGCACAAGCGGUGGAGCAUGUGGUUUAAUUCGAAGCAACGCGAAGAACCUUACCAGGUCUUGACAUCCUCUGACAAUCCUAGAGAUAGGACGUCCCCUUCGGGGGCAGAGUGACAGGUGGUGCAUGGUUGUCGUCAGCUCGUGUCGUGAGAUGUUGGGUUAAGUCCCGCAACGAGCGCAACCCUUGAUUUUAGUUGCCAGCAUUCAGUUGGGCACUCUAAGGUGACUGCCGGUGACAAACCGGAGGAAGGUGGGGAUGACGUCAAAUCAUCAUGCCCCUUAUGACCUGGGCUACACACGUGCUACAAUGGACAGAACAAAGGGCAGCGAAACCGCGAGGUUAAGCCAAUCCCACAAAUCUGUUCUCAGUUCGGAUCGCAGUCUGCAACUCGACUGCGUGAAGCUGGAAUCGCU
This 926-nucleotide ribosomal RNA is filed under the name Bacillus subtilis. RNAcentral describes it as "bacterial SSU rRNA". It matches the Rfam family "Bacterial small subunit ribosomal RNA", at positions 419 to 1336 of the family's 1533-position model. The record is from RNAcentral. Lineage: Bacteria; Bacillati; Bacillota; Bacilli; Caryophanales; Bacillaceae.